GAUGAACGCUGGCGGCGUGCCUAAUACAUGCAAGUCGAACGAACAGACGAGAAGCUUGCUCCUCUGACGUUAGCGGCGGACGGGUGAGUAACACGUGCAUAACCUACCAAUAAUACGUGGAUAACUACGGAAAACCGGUUCCAAUACCGGCUCAUAUGUUGAACCGCAUGAUUCAAUAGUUAAAGACGGUUUUCCUGUCACUUAUAGAUGGAUCCGCGCCGCAUUAGCUAGUUGGUAAGGUACAGGCUUACCAAGGCAACGAUGCGUAGCCGACCUGAGAGGGUGAUCGGCCACACUGGAACUGAGACACGGUCCAGACUCCUACGGGAGGCAGCAGUGGGGAAUCUUCCGCAAUGGGCGAAAGCCUGACGGAGCAACGCCGCGUGAGUGAUGAAGGUCUUCGGAUCGUAAAACUCUUUUAUUAGGAAAGAACAAAUGUGUAAGUAACUAUGCACGUCUUGACGGUACCUAAAGAGAAAGCAACGGCUAACUACGUG
RNAcentral lists this ribosomal RNA (497 nucleotides) under uncultured bacterium. RNAcentral's name for it is "partial 16S ribosomal RNA". It matches the Rfam family "Bacterial small subunit ribosomal RNA", at positions 28 to 507 of the family's 1533-position model. The record is from RNAcentral.